GAUGAAGAACGCAGCGAAAUGCGAAAAGUAAUGUGAAUUGCAGAAUUCAGUUAAUCAUCGAAUCUUUGAACGCACAUUGCGCCCCUUGGUAUUCCAUGGGGCAUGCCUGUUCGAGCGUCAUUUGUACCUUCAAGCUUUGCUUGGUGUUGGGUGUUUGUCUCGCCUUUGCGUGUAGACUCGCCUUAAAAUAAUUGGCAGCCGGCGUAUUGAUUUCGGAGCGCAGUACAUCUCGCGCUUUGCACUCAUAACGACAGCGUCCAAAAGUACAUUUUACACUCUUGACCUCGGAUCAGGUAGGGAUACCCGCUGAACUUAAGCAUAUCAAUAAGCGGAGGA
RNAcentral lists this unclassified non-coding RNA (336 nucleotides) under soil metagenome. RNAcentral describes it as "partial contains 5.8S ribosomal RNA, internal transcribed spacer 2, and large subunit ribosomal RNA". The stretch from base 1 to 120 matches the Rfam family "5.8S ribosomal RNA", at positions 35 to 154 of the family's 154-position model. The record is from RNAcentral.